Molecule: ribosomal RNA, 442 nt
Filed under: uncultured bacterium
Lineage: Bacteria
Description: partial 16S ribosomal RNA
Rfam family: Bacterial small subunit ribosomal RNA
Source: RNAcentral
CUACGGGCGGCUGCAGCUGGGAAUAUUGCGCAAUGGGCGAAAGCCUGACGCAGCGACACCGCGUGUGGGAAGACGCUCUUCGGAGUGUAAACCACUGUGGCAGGGGAACAAUUUUUGAGGGUACCCUGCUAGAAAGCACCUGCUAACUACGUGCCAGAAGCCUCGGUAAUACGUAGGGUGCAAGCAUUAUCCGGAUUUAUUGGGCGUAAAGCGUCCGUCGGCGUUUUAUUAAGUUUUGACUUUAAUACUGGAGCUCAACUCCAGAUACAGGUUGAAAUACUGAUAGAAUUGAGUUUACUAGGGGGAGCUGGAAUUCUCGGUGGAGGGGUGAAAUCCGUAGAUAUCGAGAGGAACACCAUUCGCGAAGGCGAGCUCCUGGAGUACAACUGACGCUCAGGGACGAAAGUUUGGGUAGCAAAAGGGAUUAGAUACCCUCGUAGUC